Molecule: ribosomal RNA, 253 nt
Filed under: uncultured bacterium
Lineage: Bacteria
Description: partial 16S ribosomal RNA
Rfam family: Bacterial small subunit ribosomal RNA
Source: RNAcentral
UACGGGGGGGGCAAGCGUUGUUCGGAAUUACUGGGCGUAAAGGGCUCGUAGGUGGCCAACUAAGUCAGACGUGAAAUCCCUCGGCUUAACCGGGGAACUGCGCCUGAUACUGGAUGGCUUGAGUUUGGGAGAGGGAUGCGGAAUUCCAGGUGUAGCGGUGAAAUGCGUAGAUAUCUGGAGGAACACCGGUGGCGAAGGCGGCAUCCUGGACCAACACUGACACUGAGGAGCGAAAGCCAGGGGAGCAAACGGG